This 447-nucleotide unclassified non-coding RNA is filed under the name uncultured fungus. Its description in RNAcentral is "sequence contains ITS2". The stretch from base 1 to 155 matches the Rfam family "5.8S ribosomal RNA". The record is from RNAcentral. Lineage: Eukaryota; Fungi.
AACUUUUGGCAAUGGAUCUCUUGGCUCUCGCAUCGAUGAAGAACGCAGCGAAAUGCGAUAAGUAAUGUGAAUUGCAGAUUUUCAGUGAAUCAUCCAAUCUUUGAACGCACCUUGCGCUCCUUGGUAUUCCGAGGAGCAUGCCUGUUUGAGGGUCAUCAAAUUCUCAACUCCAAGGGUUUCACGACCUUGUGGAGAUUGGACUUGGAGGUGCCUGUCGACUAUAUGGUCAUCUCCUCUCAAUUGCAUCAGCGGCAUCGACCCUUUGGCCUCCGGCCGUCAGUGUCAUAAUGAUGGUGCGCUCGUGAUUGUCUGCUGAGCGACCUUCAGUGAUGGAGGUUUGCUGGAGCUUACAAAUGUCUUUCCUCAGCGAAGACAGCGUUUCGAACGUUAGAUCUAAAAUCAGGUAGGACUACCCGCUGAACUUAAGCAUAUCAAUAAGCGGAGGCU